CCUACGGGGGGCAGCAGUAGGGAAUCUUCCACAAUGGGCGAAAGCCUGAUGGAGCAACGCCGCGUGGGUGAAGAAGGUCUUCGGAUCGUAAAACCCUGUUGUUAGAGAAGAAAGUGCGGGAGAGUAACUGUUCACGUUUCGACGGUAUCUAACCAGAAAGCCACGGCUAACUACUUGCCAGCAGCCGCGGUAAUACGUAGGGGGUAAGCGUUAUCCGGGUUUGUUGGGCGUAAAGGGAGCGCAGGCGGUCUUUUAAGUCUGAUGUGAAAGCAUUCGGCUUAACCGGAGUAGUGCAUUGGAAACUGGGAGACUUGAGUGCAGGAGAGGAGAGUGGAACUCCAUGUGUAGCGGUGAAAUGCGGAGAUAUAAGGAAGAACACCAGUGGCGAAAGCGGCUUUCUGGUCUGUAACUGACGCUGAGGUUCGAAAGCGUGGGUAGCAAACAGGAUUAGAUACCCGUGUAGUC
RNAcentral lists this ribosomal RNA (465 nucleotides) under uncultured bacterium. Its description in RNAcentral is "partial 16S ribosomal RNA". It matches the Rfam family "Bacterial small subunit ribosomal RNA", at positions 338 to 795 of the family's 1533-position model. The record is from RNAcentral.